ACAUCCAGAGAAUUUAGCAGAGAUGCUUUAGUGCCUUCGGGAACUCUGAGACAGGUGCUGCAUGGCUGUCGUCAGCUCGUGUUGUGAAAUGUUGGGUUAAGUCCCGNAACGAGCGCAACCCUUAUCCUUUGUUGCCAGCACGUAAUGGUGGGAACUCAAAGGAGACUGCCGGUGAUAAACCGGAGGAAGGUGGGGAUGACGUCAAGUCAUCAUGGCCCUUACGAGUAGGGCUACACACGUGCUACAAUGGCGCAUACAAAGAGAAGCGACCUCGCGAGAGCAAGCGGACCUCAUAAAGUGCGUCGUAGUCCGGAUUGGAGUCUGCAACUCGACUCCAUGAAGUCGGAAUCGCUAGUAAUCGUAAAUCAGAAUGUUACGGUGAAUACGUUCCCGGGCCUUGUACACACCGCCCGUCACACCAUGGGAGUGGGUUGCAAAAGAAGUAGAUAGCUUAACCUUCGGGAGGGCGUUUACCACUUUGUGAUUCAUGACUGGGGCGAAGUCGUAACAAGGUAGGCGUAGUGCU
RNAcentral lists this ribosomal RNA (526 nucleotides) under uncultured bacterium. RNAcentral describes it as "bacterial SSU rRNA". It matches the Rfam family "Bacterial small subunit ribosomal RNA", at positions 984 to 1509 of the family's 1533-position model. The record is from RNAcentral.